This 814-nucleotide ribosomal RNA is filed under the name Aquimarina sp. UA-AR0423. RNAcentral's name for it is "bacterial SSU rRNA". It matches the Rfam family "Bacterial small subunit ribosomal RNA", at positions 62 to 876 of the family's 1533-position model. The record is from RNAcentral. Lineage: Bacteria; Pseudomonadati; Bacteroidota; Flavobacteriia; Flavobacteriales; Flavobacteriaceae.
UCGAGGGGUAACGGGGUGCUUGCACCGCCGACGACCGGCGCACGGGUGCGUAACGCGUAUAGUACCUACCUUAUGGUAUGGGAUAGCCCAGGGAAACUUGGAUUAAUACCAUAUAGCACCAUUUUUCGGCAUCGUCGAAUGGUUAAAGAUUUAUCGCCAUAAGAUGGCUAUGCGUCCUAUUAGCUUGUUGGUGUGGUAACGGCACACCAAGGCAACGAUAGGUAGGGGCCCUGAGAGGGGGACCCCCCACACUGGUACUGAGACACGGACCAGACUCCUACGGGAGGCAGCAGUGAGGAAUAUUGGACAAUGGGGGCAACCCUGAUCCAGCCAUGCCGCGUGCAGGAAGACUGCCCUAUGGGUUGUAAACUGCUUUUAUAGGGGAAGAAACACAGGCAUGCAUGCUUGUUUGACGGUACCCUACGAAUAAGGAUCGGCUAACUCCGUGCCAGCAGCCGCGGUAAUACGGAGGAUCCAAGCGUUAUCCGGAAUCAUUGGGUUUAAAGGGUCCGUAGGCGGCCUUAUAAGUCAGUGGUGAAAGUUUACGGCUCAACCGUGAAAUUGCCAUUGAUACUGUGGGGCUUGAAUCAUUGUGAAGUGGCUAGAAUAAGUAGUGUAGCGGUGAAAUGCAUAGAUAUUACUUAGAAUACCGAUUGCGAAGGCAGGUCACUAACAAUUGAUUGACGCUAAGGGACGAAAGCGUGGGUAGCGAACAGGAUUAGAUACCCUGGUAGUCCACGCCGUAAACGAUGGUUACUAGCUGUCCGGACUUCGGUCUGGGUGGCUAAUCGAAAGUGAUAAGUAACCCACCUGG